AUGGAGGCGGUUAAGGCAUUUAACGCGGAGCUAUCAGCUCUGUACGAUGUCAAACCGCCAAUUUCCAAGGCUAAAAUGAACUCUUUAACUAGGGGUGCAAUUAAGGCAAUCAAAUUCUAUAAACAUGUUGUGCAAAGUGUUGAGAAAUUCAUUCAAAAGUGUAAACCAGAGUACAAAGUGCCUGGAUUGUACGUUAUAGAUUCAAUUGUACGCCAAUCCAGACAUCAGUUUGGAGUGGAGAAAGAUGUUUUUGCUCCACGUUUUGCCAAGAACAUGCAAACCACCUUCUUAAAUCUUUUAAAGUGUCCUCAGGAGGAUAAAAGCAAAGUGAUAAGGGUUUUAAAUCUUUGGCAAAAGAAUGCAGUUUUUCCUUCUGAGGUUAUACAACCUCUGUUUGAUCUUGCAGACCCAAAUCAUCCAAUACAUAAGGAACAGGCAGUUAAUUCUAAUGGUACACUAAAUGUUCCUUCAACGAAUAACGCAAGUAAUACUGCAAGUGCAGUAAAAACUCCGCCUUUAAGUGCAAAGAAUGCAGUGAAAGAUCAAAAGUUAUUUUCUUCUGCAAAGCCAAUCGAUCCUGCUUGGCUUGCACAAACAAAAAUGGAAACAGCGAAUAUAGUUAACGCCAAUAAACUUUUAGGGCAAUCGAAUUCAACUCAAGUGGAUGCUUCUUUUCUCGACCAACUACAACAUUUACAGCAAUUAUUAUUAAAAAAACAGGAAUCAGCGAGUGAACAAAAGAGUUCUGUAAAAUUUGAUAAGAAACUUUUAGAUUUUGAUUAUGGGGAGGAAGAAGACGAUGAUGUUGUUGUUGCUAAUUCGCCAACAACAACAACAACAUCUAAUACUGGUCAACAUAAUACAGUCUCUGCUGGAAAUAGUUUGGAGAGUCUUGGACUUCUUUUAACAAAUCCAGAGGUUUUAAGACAACUUCAAACGUUGCAACAAACAAUGCAAGGAAGUGCUUCUUCGUCGCAACAUGAAAUGGAAGAGAAAAUGCGAAAAUUGCAGCAAAUGAAGCAACAAGAGGAGGAAUUUGAUAAGCACUUAGCUCAAACUGUUCCUAAUUUACCAUUUGCAUCAGAAUGCGAAUUAAAACCUUCAGACAUAUUAAAACCAAAUCAACAAAACGCGUAUAUAACAAAUGUAAGUAGCGGAGUGAUUCAAGACAUGAGUCAACCGCCUCCUGGUUAUCCACCGGCUCUACCGUAUGUCUCUCAACCUUUGUCAAAUAUUAGGCAGAUCAAUCAGCAGAUGCAUCAAAAUCAAAAAAGUCCGCUUCUCGAUGAACGAACAGAUACACAAGAUUACUCUGGAAAUGGUGCAAGACGAGAUAGUAGCAGCGUAGAAAUUGUAAAUUGUGAUAAUACAAGGUCACAAAGUAGAUCGCCUGAUCGGUACAGACAUCAUAGUCGAUCUAGAUCACCUCGACAUAGAGACAGAGACAGAGAUAGGGACCGGGAUCGGGAUCGGGACAGGGAUAGAAAAUCUCGGUCAAGAAGUAGAUCCAGAAGAAGAAGGUCUCGUUCGCGAGAUAGGGGACGUGAGAGAAAACGUGAAGAUAGCCGAGAAAAAAUGACUGAGGAGGAACGAGAAAAAGAAAGAGAAAGACGUAAAAGAGGAUUACCUCCGAUUAUGAGAGACAAAUUAAGCGUUUGUAGUACUACACUUUGGGUAGGUCAUUUAUCCAAGUUGGUACACCAAGAAGAGCUUUCGGAUACUUUUGGAGAAUUUGGCGAUAUUGUCAGUAUAGAUCUGAUUUCACCUAGAGGUUGUGCAUUUAUAUGCAUGAAUAGAAGGCAAGAUGCAUAUAGAGCUCUUACUAAACUUAAAAAUCAUAAAAUGCAAGGAAAAGCAAUUACUUUAGCCUGGGCACCAGGAAAAGGAGUAAAGGGGAAAGAAUGGAAAGAUUAUUGGGAAGUUGAAUUAGGAGUUAGUUAUAUUCCUUGGAAUAAAUUACUUAACGUUACUGAUCAGGAUUUAGAAUUACUUGAAGAAGGAGGUAUGAUUGAUGAGGAUACGCUGCCACCUAAUUUAAAAGGUAAAUUAAAGCAUUCCGGGACAAAUGCAGACGUGCUUCAGCAACAGUUGCAGUUACAGCAGCAAGCUUUAGUUGCAGCUGCUGCACUUCCGAGUUUGACAGACAGUAUCGUGAACGUAAUGCAACCUUCGACUAGCACUCAACAACAACAAUCUCAGCAACAAAAUCAACAGCAAGGUCAACAGCAGCAACAAGUUAUUGAUACAAGUCAACCACCGCCAAUUAGACCCCCUACAUCCGCUGCACUUUUACCACCACCAAAUACACAGUUACAAAUGAUGCCACCUGCUUUCACGAUGCCAGGAGUUCCUCGGAUGAUUGGACCAAUGGGAUUACCAAUGGCACACAGUUUAAUGCCCAACGUUCCAAUAGGCGUGCCUCCACCAAAUAUGCAAAGUUUAUUAGGCCCUCCAGGAAUGAUGCAGACUAUGUUAACACCUCCAGUUAAUUCUCCGUUUGGUGCAGGUGUCGGUGUUGGGUUAUUAACGCAAAUUCCUUUACCUGCACCAGCUGCGCCUUCCGAUAAACCUAAUUCUACUGGUAUGCCACAUAAUGUUCCUCCAAUAGGAGUUCCCCCACCAACGACGGAAACAGGAAUGCCAAAUCUGCCAAUGUUACGUCAACCUUAUGGUGUAGGACCUUCUGCUUCUUUACAAAUGCAACUAUCUCAGCAACAACAUUCUGCAGACGAUAUGGAUGUAGAAAUGGAGGACGCGAUGCCACAGACAUCAAAUGGAGCCAAAAAUAAGAACAAUUUAACCGAGCAACAAUUGUCACAAAAUGAAGAGAGAACAGAGUCUGAUCAAUUAGAGCAACAGCAUCGAGACUACAAAGAAAGAGAAAGAGAGCGUGAAAACAGAGAAAGAAGAGAGAGAGAAACGCACUUGUCUCAUAGAGAUAGAGAAAAUGAUUCUAGAAUGGAUCGUGGGAGAGAAAGGGGCAGAGGAAGAGACAGAGGACGUGAUCGCAGAAGAGAUCUCAGAGAUAGAGACAGAGAUGACAGAAGAGAAAGAGAGAACAGAGAAAAUCGAGAAGGAAAUUCUCAAACUCAAAAUCUAAAUCUUCAGGAAAAUGAAUCUACUCCAAAAAAAGAUGGUAAACCGAGCUUAGCCGAACGUCUGCGUCAGUUGGCCGAUGGCACGCUUCCAUUAGAAGAUCGGGUCGACCGAAUGAUUCCCCGCAAUCGACAAGAUCGGGAUAGAUCUGAUAGAAAUUUCGAAGAUACUCGGUCGGCGCGUGGAGAGCCUCUUUCUUCUCUGAUGGAUUUACCAAAGUUUGGUUUACCGCAAGAGAGAGCUGAUUUCUCGGCUCGGCCUUCAGAUUUCCGUAAUCCUCAAGAUCCAAGAGAGUUUCAGCAACAAAGAGAUAGGCCAAAUUUUGGCAGAGGUCAUAGAGGAUCACAGAUUCACGAAGAAUAUAUUGAUGUACCGAGGCUACAAGGAGGGAUAUAUCAAGAGGAAUUUGAUAAUAGGAUACAUGGCCAACAGAGAGUGGAAGAGUUUGGUAGGCUUGGACCACCCAGGGAACAGAGGGAGGAAUUUGACAGGUCUGAAAUACGAGGAAGAAGACCAUUGGAUGAUCGAGAUCGUUUCGAGUUUGAGAUCAGAAGAGAUGGCUUUGAUCCACGAUUGCCAGAAGGUUUUGAUCCAAGGGGACACCUUGAUCGGAGUGAUUUUGAACCUAGAAGACGAGAAUUCUUUGGAAUUGAUCCUAUCUUUGGGAUGCCACCUAUAAUGGGACCCAGAGGUCCAAGACCUGGACAUCCUGAUGGAUUUGGACCACGUCCAGCUCCUCUAGGAGCUCGUGGUCCAGGUCCUCUAAUGUUUCAUCCACGAGGUUUAGGACCUCGUCCUCUGCGACCUGGCAUGAGACCUUUCGGCCCUCGUGGACCACCUUUUGAUCCACGAGAACCGGACGCCUUUUUCAGACCUCCUUUCGAUGAUAUUCGUCCUCAUAUCAGACCACCAUUCGGCCCUAUGGGUCCACCUUCGAUCGUUCCUCCAGAAACUGCCGCUCCUUGGAGGAAUCAAGAACUCCCGCCUUCUACUUGGUCUUCUGAUUCCGAGAAUCAUUCGCAAAGAGAUAAAAAAGGUGGUAAACAUAUGAACAACCAAAAUGCGGAUAGAGAAAAUCGAAACCGAGGGCGUAAAUCCAGAUGGACUAACGUGAGCCCAUCUGGAGAAGAAACAGAGGAAACGAAGGAACAAGAAUCAACUUCCUUAAAAGAGGAACUACAAAAAGAAGAACCUGUUAAUGAAGGAGAAGUGGUUGCAAAAGAAGAAGAAGAAGAAGAAGAAGAAGAAGAGGAAGAGGAAGAGGAGGAGGAGGAGGAGGAGGAAGAAGAAGUUGUGAAAGAAGAAAUGAUUAAAGAUGAAGUUAAAGAUAUUAAAGCAGAAGAAGUUAUUCCCACUGAGAACCAGCAACAAGAUUUGGAGGAAACGGUUGAAGAAAAGAAAGAAAGCGAGGAUAUAAAGAAGGAAGAGGAGGAUCGCAGGGAUUCUUAGACCAAAGUAAAGAGCAAUUUUUUCUUUAACAUUUUUUCUUACUCUGUGGAGUGGUGUGAGGGAGAAUUCGUUGCUUCAUAUUCAGUUGGGGUCAGUUUGGAAAAAUUUGUUUUAGAAAAUGAAACACUGAAUUUUAGAAUAAUUAUGUUUGAUUAUUAUGGUGCUAAAGUAGUAUGUUUUAAAAAUAAAUUUUUGUAAUAUUUGCAAGGCUAAUAUAAUUUAUUAGAAAUAAAUUUUAAAUGCAAUAAAAAAAUUAUAGUAAAUGAACAUUAAUUAAAGUAUGUAAAAAAAGAAAUUUUAACGCCAAAUAAAAAUAUAUCUUUUAUAUUAUUUAGGAAAUGUGAGAUAUAUUAUUUAUAAAACAAAAAGAUUUCUUUAAUUCAGUGUUUCGAAUAUAGAAAAAAGGCAUUGGUUCCGUGAGCACCUUUUAAUACGUAAAGCGCUAAUUUGUGAAUACUAAACUCGUGACCCGUGGACACAUCCAAGUGACGACUUAUUUAUUGAAUUGUAAAUACUUUUUGUAUUUUCGUAGUGAACAAACAUACAAUAUAUCUGGUUUAAAUAUAUACAUUUAAUUACUUUUUAUAUUAUUGAAGAUACAAGAAAAUCGACAUCGGAUUGAAAGUAUAUUAGUAUUUUCCAAUUAUUAAUUUAAAAAAUUUUAACACUACUAUAUGGUAUAUGAACCUUUACAGCUUAUUUAAAUGUAUGCUCAUAAUUUUUAACCAGUUAAACUACUCUGUUAUUUAAACUAAAAUAUUUGCAAUGGUAAUUCAGUUCCAUUAUUGUUUUAUAUGAAAAUCUUUCUUGUAUCCCCAAUAUCCAGAACAACAAUUAAAUGUAUAUAUAUAAAUAGAUCAUAAUGUAUAGAUAGAUGAAUCUUAACAGUAGAAUCUUGAUUAACCAUGUACGUUUAAAAGUUUCAAGUAUUUUCAUACGAACAUUUUCAUUGAUUAAACAUUAUUCCUUAAAAUUGUGUAUAUGCUAUAGGUAAAUCUAGGUUGAAAUUUUUAUAUGAAACAAAAGAUAAUUUAAUGAUCGUAUUGCUUAAAUUGUAAAUAUUCAAUUUUCAAUAGUGUAUUGAGUUUUUUGUUUGUUAUAAGAGUAAUUAAACAUUUGAUCAAUAGAAAAUGUCAACUACUAAAAUACUUAAGCAUUACUUCGGAUAAGCAAGAUUCUAUCGCCAUAAAUAUUUAAAUAGAUAGAGAGAGAGAUUAUAUACAUACAUAUAUAUAUAUAUAUAUAUAUAUAUAUAUAUAUGUAUAUAUAUGUUGUAUGUAUUGAGUAUGAGACAAUGUGCACGUGUGUAUGCGUAGAUGUCUGUGUAAGGAUGUACAUGAGAGAACACAAAAGUAAAAUAAAGAGCGAAAAUAUAUAUAGCGCCGAUGUUCGGCGUUGCUCAAUCAAACGAACGAAAAAUAAAUAUUUUCUAUAUAACGUCUCUCUUCGUAAGCAAAAUUAUAGCCUUUCAUUCCGCUUGGCUCCCAGAAUUAUCUUCACGUCUGUUUUUAUUUUUUUUUAAAGUUAAGUCCAAACAUCGAUAGAAAUUCACUGUUUUCAAAGAUUUUGUCUGGGAGUCUCCAUAGAAAAACUAAGAACACUAAUUGUUAAUUCUAUUCAUCAGCGUUCGUACGAAUGAUUUGUAUCAUAUCUUUAAUUUUAUCUAUUUUUUGUGCCGUCAUUAUUCAAUCAUACUGGUUUAUGAAAAAAAUUCCAGACAAAAGUUGCGUAGUUUAAAUACUGAAAUAGUUGACAGCAAACAAUUGCAAUACAAUUUUAUUGUAUUUUAUUCAAUCACUACCUAUAAUCAUAGGUACUAUACAAUUUUUUAUUACAUAUUCUCUAUAUAUUUUGUUUAGAAAUUGAAAGAUUACAGCCAUUCAAAACGAUCACUAAUUAUUAUUUAACAUUAAGUAUAAUUUUGGUAUUAAUUUAAAUUUUCUCUUUCGUUUAAUUGAUGUACCAUCGAUAUUCUAGCAUCUUGUUCAGUUUAAUUUAUUUAACUAUGCAAUUUUUAUCUGAAAAAUUUUUUCUCCGAAUAUCGUAUAACGUGUCAAGUUCACAGAAGUCGGAUAACUCUGUAGAUAGAGACUAAUAUAAUUGCACUUGCAACAAAGAAAAAGACGUUAAAACAAAACAGAUGUUUCAAACGAUAUUCGGAACGGAAUGAAAUCUUUUCAGAACAGCUUUAGAUAUUUGUUCAGUACUCGUACUCGUGUGUUCACAUGCGUGAGUCUCUCUCUCUCUGUCGCCACGACGAUGGAACACCAGCCACCAGGUCGCUUGCGCUCAAACUGAGUGACAAGUGCAAGGCACGUUACAUCUUGGAAUGACAAACGGAUCUAUUGCGUGAUUUUUCCUCAAUUCUAUGUAUUUAUUGUAAACAUGAGCAUUUUAAUAAAAUUGCGAUAUAAAUGUACAUUAA
Molecule: non-coding RNA, 6970 nt
Organism: Osmia lignaria (orchard mason bee)
Lineage: Eukaryota; Metazoa; Arthropoda; Insecta; Hymenoptera; Megachilidae
Source: RefSeq, a predicted model, not a curated record